CUGGCGAUGAUGAUUGGUGCAGGGGUACGUACCUCAGCUGAUGAUGGGAGCUGGGUGUUGCUGUUCCUCAGUUUAGUGGGCGUGUGGUCCUCUUAACAGGACAGCAGCAUGAUAAACACCACGGUCUGAGCCAA
Small nucleolar RNA from Paramormyrops kingsleyae, 134 nucleotides. Ensembl annotates it as small nucleolar RNA SNORD94. Lineage: Eukaryota; Metazoa; Chordata; Actinopteri; Osteoglossiformes; Mormyridae. The record is from Ensembl.